GAGGAAAGCCUUCCCUGAAUUUCAGUCCAUGAGUUGGGUUAGACAUCAAAGGAAAAGGGCCAGACUCUUCAUCCCAGAUCCUGGGCUCUGAUAAGAGAUGGACAGAGGAAGAAUGACCGAAAUGCCUUUGGGCAUCCUUCUGCUCUAGAGUACAGUCUCUCAGGGCUUGUUACCGGAAAGAACCAUCCACUGACUUCUGUUCUUGAUAAAGGAGCCACAAUACGAG
This 226-nucleotide long non-coding RNA is filed under the name Fukomys damarensis (Damara mole-rat). RNAcentral describes it as "lncRNA (ENSFDAG00000032016.1)". The record is from RNAcentral. Lineage: Eukaryota; Metazoa; Chordata; Mammalia; Rodentia; Bathyergidae.